GGGAGCACACUGGAAUAAUGCUCUGCUUUAUCCAGCAAUAACAUCAGCUAUUGAAGAGAGAGUCCCGCGUUCCAGAUGAUCUUUGUCGCUCAGAAUGCCACCGAAUUGCUCGACCAUCAGGCUGUUCACUACUGCCGCUGGGCUGGACUGAAAGGAAAUAAUCUGCAGUGCAAAUCUGGGGGCAGAUCAAGCAAACACAGACAGUGUUUUGUGUGGUAAAAGAGCGUUGUGCUGUCACGUUACCUUAACUGUCUAACUGUUGUCUGCUAUUGGUGACCAAGUAAGAAGGGUGUAGUCCCGCACUGACACUGUUUAUGUACAUUUUUGCUGCUUUAUUUGGACAGACUCCCACUGAAGAAGCAGGUGUGUGAUUUAUCUGGGUUCCACACCGGCUGCAGCUCCUCUGGUUUUACAUGCUGCUCUCAGCUCGGCUGCUGCAUUUGGGACAUCUGGUCGUGGACAUUGUUAAACCUGGUCAAUCGGUGCUCAGCUGGUCUCUCCCCAUUCAGGGGUAAAGUGAAUUUUCUGGAAUAGAGCAGCUGGUCCACAUAUCGCCAUGAAUACAGACAGCGGUGGCUAUGCUCGCAAACGUGCUGCUACUUCUGUUAAAUUAGCCUCUGUGAAGAGAGUGCAAAGCUCACCCAAC
Molecule: long non-coding RNA, 646 nt
Organism: Rhincodon typus (whale shark)
Lineage: Eukaryota; Metazoa; Chordata; Chondrichthyes; Orectolobiformes; Rhincodontidae
Exons: 3
Source: RefSeq, a predicted model, not a curated record